Ailuropoda melanoleuca (giant panda) is the source of this 2907-nucleotide long non-coding RNA. RefSeq lists it as uncharacterized. The transcript is spliced from 5 exons. The record is from RefSeq and is a predicted model, not a curated record. Lineage: Eukaryota; Metazoa; Chordata; Mammalia; Carnivora; Ursidae.
CAGGAUCAGGGGAAGGUGAGUCGUAGGACGUUUGGGCUCCAGAAAAGUCGGGAGCCCUCCCAGCUCGUCGCCUUGAGCUUGACUCAUCCGACCCCGCAGGCCUCUCUGGGAUGUCGUAUAAAGGGCUGCUGCUAGGAAAUGAACCUGCUCGGAAGCCAGUUUCUCCUAGAUUAAACACAAACCAUCUAAGGCUAGAAUGUUAUAGAACUGCCCUGCUGUAUUCCCUGCUCUUGACCUGAAGGAACAGAAGUCACUAAGCCACGGUCCACUAUGGUGCUAGGGGGAGGGAAUGAAGCCACAGCCUCUGGCCAUUGGGACCAAGGCUCAGCCAGAAGGAUGCCUACUUCCUUCCUGAGAAGUCAACUUUCAUCUGCCCCUCCCAAAAUUAAAUGAAUAAUUAGCACUUAACUCACCUGCACUUGACUACACCUGUGUAACAGACCUGCCUGUAGACAGAGGACGAGACGUUUCAUCUGCUCUUUUUCUUUGGUUACUGCUUCAUUCAUGGGCCUUUAAUCUUCGCUGUGGCAUCCACGAAGUGUUCCUAUAUCUUCAAAUAAUACAAUACUUUAAAAAUGAGUUGUCUGCAAUCGCUUACACAAAACUACUUCAGAGACAGACGUCAAAUUCAGAUGGAAAGGACUGGAAAGGCUGCUUGCCAGAGGUGCUGAGAGGAUUUCACAGGGCUGGCCCCUCCUGCAGAAUGGAGGAUGACCUCACAUGGUGAAGAGGAGUCACUCCCCAGAGCAGCUGCCAGAAGCCACAGCUUGCCAUGGCCUGGGGCCAUUGCCAGUGCUCCACAGGGUGACAGACUUUGAGGCCGAGGGAUGCUCUGCUGUAAGGAGGAAGUAUUGCUCGGUUUACAAAAUACGCCUCAGGAUAAGACUUGAGUUCACUGAGCUGCCUUUCAUCUUCCCGGAUAAGGGCCCCUAAGAAGUGGCCGGGACCUCUCCAUCGAUGAGCGAAGACUUCCAGGAACAGAGAAUUGAAGGAGACAGCUAUUGGAUUAAUUUUAAGAAGGUUUUGCUGGAAUUUCUCAUAAAGAAUACAUGGACAGUAAAGACAUGAGAAAUUAUAGCUCUCUGGGUCAAAAAAAAAAAAAGAAAAGAAAAGAAAGAAAGAAAGAAAACCACCUCUAAAUUCCCAUAGUUUUUCUUAGUCUUUAUUGAAAAAUUCAUUUACUGCUAAUGGUGUCAAGAGGUGCUGUCAGCCCUUGUUAUUGUACCAAAAAGAAAAAUAAAGAAAAGGUUUAGGGAGCCCUGUCUAAAAAGGAAUGUUGUCAUUUCUAUUUUCCAACUCUCAAGUGAAAACAGAUUCUGUUAUCUCAACUUCACAGAGCUAAGGGCCCAAUAACCACCUUGUUCUCGUGAGUUUGUGAAGCCUGGUAAGAAAUUUAUACUAAAUAAAAGGGGGAACUGGGCAAGCCAUUGCCUUUCGGAGAAGAAGAAUAAAAUAAGAUGGAAAUCAACAGGGAAAAUGGUGAAAACACAAGUCUAGGUUUUCAGAUGAUUCUAGAGCCCUAGCAUCAACCGUGGCUUAAGUCUUAGAACAUAUCAAAUUCAGUACUAAUUUUGGCCUAUAUAAGAAAACAAGUCACAGAUUUGCUGAAACUCCAUUGUAGCAUUUUAGCUUCAAGUCUUUGGGAGCUACUGGGGAAUGUUUUUCUUUCUUCCCUCAGAUUCUAUCAACAUUGUUUGGUGCUUUUCCACCAAGAUCUCUAAACAACUCCAACAGGCGUAUGCAGGUGAUAUCCAGAAGAAGGUAGACCAAGAUAUUAGAAACAGUUGGAGUAACUCAAGUCUUUAAUAUUGUCAAUAUUAGUCUCAAUAAUUCCACACCUAGACAACAUGCAUGAGAGAUGUUUUCUCAGCCAAGACGAAGGAGCUCCAGCAUGCACCGUGACAUGCGUUCCCUCAUUAGGCAUGCUUCUUUUUGGAAUUAGUCUUCAGCAAUAAUCAUUCAGUGUAACCUUUAGUCUCCAUGAACCAAAACACAGCACAACCUCGGGCUUUACCCAUCCCUUGGGAUUGAGAAGCAGUUCUGUGUGUAAGUAGCAAUUUCAUCCUGAUUUUUCAAGCUUGGUGCUCUCUCACCUUCCACACACUUGAAGAGAAGAUGUUGGGUUGGAUGGCUGGCCCUGAGGAACCUUAUCUUUCAUUUCUCUGGUGAGAAAGAAUCUGAUUUAACAUGGUUUUCCUUUACCCUGAACAUGCCAGGUGACCCUUCCCCAUCUUGUAAUAUCCUGUGACCACCUCCACCCAUUCAUCCCCAGCUCUUGCCCAGUUCCUGUGAGUUGAAAGAGAACGCAGAAUUACAGCAUUCAGAACCGAAGCAGAUGUAGUGCUUGGAUAGGCCAAGCCUUUCUAUGAUGAGGACUUAUUGGCAACCCAGAGAAGUGGGGUUGCAAUCCAGUCCUCUUGCAUCCAGUCCUCUGACUCUUUAUGGGAAAAGCUUGGCCCUAGUCUCCCUGACUUCUCAUGCUCAUUUCAUCUCAUCUGGACAUCUCACCAGACCUGAGUCAUGAAAACAGUGGGGCACCGAGGCCAGCCAUACUCUAUGAAGUGGUGGUAUUUUCGCUCAUCUAAACUUGGCUUAUCUUUCUAAAAACUUGGGUGUUGGAACCCAACUUGGAAAUCACCUGUUUGAUCCUCCCACGCAUGCAGGUCUCUCACCUGCAAUAUUCUUGAGACAAUUAUUUGGUUUCUGCUUUCUUAUUUCCUGUUAUUAGGAGCUAUCUUCCAGAAACAUAAAAAUUUCACUAGAAUGUUUUUGUUGUUAUAUGGAGCUAAAAGUUACCUUUUCUGUGACAAAGGAGGCAAGAAUCGACAAUGGGGAAAAGACAGUUUCUUCAACAACUGGUGCUGGGAAAACUAGAAGCUACAUGCAAAAGAAUGAAACUGGACCACU